GAUGAACGCUGGCGGCGUGCCUAAUACAUGCAAGUCGAGCGAACAGACGAGGAGCUUGCUCCUCUGACGUUAGCGGCGGACGGGUGAGUAACACGUGGAUAACCUACCUAUAAGACUGGGAUAACUUCGGGAAACCGGAGCUAAUACCGGAUAAUAUAUUGGACCGCAUGGUUCAAUAGUGAAAGACGGUUUUGCUGUCACUUAUAGAUGGAUCCGCGCCGCAUUAGCUAGUUGGUAAGGUAACGGCUUACCAAGGCAACGAUGCGUAGCCGACCUGAGAGGGUGAUCGGCCACACUGGAACUGAGACACGGUCCAGACUCCUACGGGAGGCAGCAGUAGGGAAUCUUCCGCAAUGGGCGAAAGCCUGACGGAGCAACGCCGCGUGAAUGAUGAAGGUCUUCGGAUCGUAAAACUCUGUUAUUAGGGAAGAACAAAUGUGUAAGUAACUAUGCACGUCUUGACGGUACCUAAUCAGAAAGCCACGGCUAACUACGUG
This 497-nucleotide ribosomal RNA is filed under the name uncultured bacterium. Its description in RNAcentral is "partial 16S ribosomal RNA". It matches the Rfam family "Bacterial small subunit ribosomal RNA", at positions 28 to 507 of the family's 1533-position model. The record is from RNAcentral.